RNAcentral lists this ribosomal RNA (529 nucleotides) under uncultured bacterium. Its description in RNAcentral is "bacterial SSU rRNA". It matches the Rfam family "Bacterial small subunit ribosomal RNA", at positions 772 to 1306 of the family's 1533-position model. The record is from RNAcentral.
ACUAAAUAGAUACCCGGGUAGUCCACGCCGUAAACGAUGGAUACUAGCUGUUCGGAGCAAUCUGAGUGGCUAAAGCGAAAAAAGUGAUAAGUAUCCCACCUGGGGAGUACGCACGCAAGUGUGAAACUCAAAGGAAUUGACGGGGGCCCGGCACAAGCGGUGGAGCAUGUGGUUUAAUUCGAUGAUACGCGAGGAACCUUACCAGGGCUUAAAUGUAGAUUGACAGGACUGGAAACAGUUUUUUCUUCGGACAAUUUACAAGGUGCUGCAUGGUUGUCGUCAGCUCGUGCCGUGAGGUGUCAGGUUAAGUCCUAUAACGAGCGCAACCCUGUCGUUAGUUGCCAGCGAGUCAUGUCGGGAACUCUAACGAGACUGCCAGUGUAAACUGUGAGGAAGGUGGGGAUGACGUCAAAUCAUCACGGCCCUUACGUCCUGGGCCACACACGUGCUACAAUGGUAGGUACAGAGAGCAGCCACUGCGCGAGCAGGAGCGAAUCUACAAAACCUAUCUCAGUUCGGAUCGGAGUCU